GGCCUCUCUCCUUGGCUUGUGGUUGGCCAUCUUCUCCCUGUGCUUUCACACGGCCUUUCCUCUGUGCAUGUCCCUGCUUCCAUCUUCUCUGCCUACAAAGACAUCAGCCAUAUUGUAUUAGGGAUAACCCAUAUGACCUAAUUUAACCUUAAUUACCUCUUUAAAGGCUCUGUUUCCAAAUACAGUUACAUUCUGAAAUAUGAGAAGUUAGGACUUCAACAUGUGAAUUUUUCUACAUCUAGGAGACACAUUUAGGCCAAUAACAGUAUACCUGGCAAUGUUUAUUUCUUUAUUUGCUUGUUGCCUAACAGGCAGACAUUUGAAUGUCUGGCAUUCUUCACAUGGGAUGAGAAAAGUUGGUGGAGAGGUUGACUCUUCCAUAUAUAAACUUUCAGGUAUUCUCCGUAUUUUUGACCCUUUUCUCACUCCUGUCUUUGGCGAGACUUGGAGGUUCUGAGCCUUGAGCCCCUCCUAGGCUCUGCAGAUGGACUCCUCCCUCAGCUGCCUGCCUCCUACAGCCUCUUCAUCUGCAUUUUCCUCUGGAGACACAGCAUCUUCUCUGUCCUCCUCCUUCCUGUCCCUUUGUGGACCCCUUACAGCUGCUUUCUCUCCCUUUCUUCCUCAAACACCAUCUUCUCUGCUCUCAUUAUUUCAGAAGUUUGCUAAACCCUCUCACUUGCUUACGUUAUCCUGUUAUUUUCAUCAUUUGGGUUUAUACUAUCAUUUUAAUGGAGUCUCAUAGAAAUGAGAGGUAAACACACAAGCAUUUUGGAAAGACCCCUCUGAAUGCAGUAUGGAGGGUACAUUGGUGGGGCAAGAAGGCAGAAAAGAGACUUAUGGUCUUUGGGUUAUUAGCCUUGGGCCUCUGCAGAAUGAGCAUCACAGGCCCAGGAUGACAGGAGGUGCGGAAGGCAAGGGCAGCAUCCCAGGAGCCCAGGACUCUCUACCAGUGGGCAGCCACAUCGCUGUCCACGGUUUGGUGGGGAAAGUUCCCCAUCAAUCAAAAAUUCUGUCAGCACCCAUGAGUCAUCACUGAGUGUCUUACCUCCUUUCCUGAGAAAAUGGCAAGGACUUUGUUACCUGUGCAUCUAUUUUUCCAUAAGUUGAGAAGUAACUGACCCUGGGAAGAUGACUCAGAGCAUCAGAAAACCAGCACGUUUCUGCUUCUCUUACAAGCCCUGGUCUUGACAGACACGAUUGCCCUUUCUAUUUACAUCAUAAUACAUUGAUUGUUCUGUUUGAGACUCCAGGUAAUGGAUGGAGGGCAGUGAAAGGAUGUGUGUGAACUUUCUGUCAUGAAAGACAAUUUACAGGAACUAAUCAUCUUACAAUUGUUGCUCAGAAAAAAGAAAUUCAUCAACCAGGCACCCCCAAACAGAUACAGUGAGAAGUCAUCCAUCUGCAAACUAGGAAGAAGGCCCUCGCCAGACACUGGAUCCACUGGCAGCUUGAUCUUGGAUGUCCCAGCCUCCAGAACUGUGGGAAAUAAAUGUUUGUUAUUGAAGCCA
Long non-coding RNA from Homo sapiens (human), 1508 nucleotides. RefSeq lists it as uncharacterized. The record is from RefSeq and is a predicted model, not a curated record. Lineage: Eukaryota; Metazoa; Chordata; Mammalia; Primates; Hominidae. The transcript is spliced from 2 exons.